This 253-nucleotide ribosomal RNA is filed under the name uncultured bacterium. Its description in RNAcentral is "partial 16S ribosomal RNA". It matches the Rfam family "Bacterial small subunit ribosomal RNA", at positions 524 to 776 of the family's 1533-position model. The record is from RNAcentral.
UACGAAGGGGGCUAGCGUUGCUCGGAAUGACUGGGCGUAAAGGGCGCGUAGGCGGAUUGCUAAGUCAGGGGUGAAAUCCUGGAGCUCAACUCCAGAACUGCCUUUGAUACUGGCGAUCUUGAGUCCGGGAGAGGUGAGUGGAACUGCGAGUGUAGAGGUGAAAUUCGUAGAUAUUCGCAAGAACACCAGUGGCGAAGGCGGCUCACUGGCCCGGUACUGACGCUGAGGUGCGAAAGCGUGGGGAGCAAACAGG